Molecule: ribosomal RNA, 243 nt
Filed under: uncultured bacterium
Lineage: Bacteria
Description: partial 16S ribosomal RNA
Rfam family: Bacterial small subunit ribosomal RNA
Source: RNAcentral
CUGACGAGUGGCGGACGGGUGAGUAACGCGUAGGAAUCUGCCCAAAAGUGGGGGACAACGUGGGGAAACCCACGCUAAUACCGCAUAAGCCCCACGGGGUAAAGCAGGGGAUCUUCGGACCUUGCGCUUUUGGAUGAGCCUGCGUUGGAUUAGCUAGUUGGUGAGGUAAAGGCUCACCAAGGCGACGAUCCAUAGCUGUUCUGAGAGGAAGAUCAGCCACACUGGGACUGAGACACGGCCCAG